Molecule: ribosomal RNA, 963 nt
Filed under: Escherichia coli
Lineage: Bacteria; Pseudomonadati; Pseudomonadota; Gammaproteobacteria; Enterobacterales; Enterobacteriaceae
Description: bacterial SSU rRNA
Rfam family: Bacterial small subunit ribosomal RNA
Source: RNAcentral
CAUGCAAGUCGAACGGUAACAGGGAAGAAGCUUGCUUCUUUUGCUGACGAGUGGCGGACGGGUGAGUAAUGUCUGGGAAACUGCCUGAUGGAGGGGGAUAACUACUGGAAACGGUAGCUAAUACCGCAUAACGUCGCAAGACCAAAGAGGGGGACCUUCGGGCCUCUUGCCAUCGGAUGUGCCCAGAUGGGAUUAGCUAGUAGGUGGGGUAACGGCUCACCUAGGCGACGAUCCCUAGCUGGUCUGAGAGGAUGACCAGCCACACUGGAACUGAGACACGGUCCAGACUCCUACGGGAGGCAGCAGUGGGGAAUAUUGCACAAUGGGCGCAAGCCUGAUGCAGCCAUGCCGCGUGUAUGAAGAAGGCCUUCGGGUUGUAAAGUACUUUCAGCGGGGAGGAAGGGAGUAAAGUUAAUACCUUUGCUCAUUGACGUUACCCGCAGAAGAAGCACCGGCUAACUCCGUGCCAGCAGCCGCGGUAAUACGGAGGGUGCAAGCGUUAAUCGGAAUUACUGGGCGUAAAGCGCACGCAGGCGGUUUGUUAAGUCAGAUGUGAAAUCCCCGGGCUCAACCUGGGAACUGCAUCUUGAUACUGGCAAGCUUGAGUCUCGAUAGAGGGGGGUAGAAUUCCAGGUGUAGCGGUGAAAUGCGUAGAGAUCUGGAGGAAUACCGGUGGCGAAGGCGGCCCCCUGGAACGAAAGACUGAACGCUCAGGGUGCAAAAGCGUGGGGGCAAACAGGAUUAGAUACCCCUGGUUAGUCCACGCCCGUAAACGAUGUCGAACUUUGGAAGUUUGUGCCCCUUAAGGGCGUGGCUUUCCGGAAGCUAACCGCGUUAAGUCAAACCGCCUUGGGGAAGUACGGGCCGCCCAGGUUUAAAAACUCAAAUGAAUUUGACCGGGGGGCCCCCGCACAAGCCGGUGGGGAGCAUGGUGGUUUUAAAUUCCGAAUGGCAACCGGCGAA